CCCUACUAAUAUCAAUUUUCGAAAAGUAAUAUGUCAUGCUUUGUUGGGCUAUUUCCCAGAAAACCCUCUCGGUGUUCCCAGAAUCUGCACCUGGGGUAUCCUUCCUUAUUUGCAGUUUCUCCUUUUUCCCAAAUUCAUUAUUUGGGACAUUCUUCCUCUCUGUAUCUUUCGAAGAAAACUGACAUGUUCUAUGCUACACAGAAAAGGAUGUUGCCCAAUGCUUACCGGUUGUUCACGGGUACAUUUCUUUUAUGCUUUUUGUUGACUAAUUUUUGCUUAAUUUCAGUCCUGUAUUUCACUUAUGAGAGAGGAAAGUGUAAUGUAGAAAGUUAGUUUGAGCUACAAUUGCAUACAGUGUGUGUUGUUUAGGAACUGAAUAAAUAUCAAUAGUCUAUAUGCUAGCCUCGCAAAAUGUUAACUGAGUUUAUUACACCUCUGCCUUGCCUCUCGCCUCUUCUCUCGCUGUUGAUCACCCCUUCUCACAACUUCAUCUAAAAUGUUCUGCAUCUGCAUUUAUAAGAUUUUUGUUCAUGGAGGUCAUUUCAAAGGGAUCUCAAGUUAGGUUGCAGAGAUUUGAUUCAAAUUUAUGGAUUUGGAGCAACGCUGUGCUCCAAUCUGUUUAGGGCUUGGAGCUAGAUCUUUCAAGUUUGGGUGCUGUGAGUUUUAAUUCCAGAAGCAAAAGUACCCUUAAUUGGCUACCUUUGGACUCUCAAGCUGUAUAUUGCUGUUAACGAAUAUUUGGGUAAGCGUUCUAAUUUCAUAGGGACAGCUGUUGGCAGCAUCUUCAAUAUUUAUGGUGGAAAAUGGAAUCUGCAACCGAUAAGGCCAAGUAUAGACACUGGUUCCAUGUUUGGUUGGUUUAUUCUGCUUUUUUGUUCUUCAGAAUUUUCUUCUCUUAUGAAAGAGUUCUUGAUAGAGGUCGCACUUGGUGCAAUGUCUUCGCCCAUAAGCGGUAGGUCUCGGGUUCGAGACUUGGAAGCAGCCUCUCCAUAAAUAGGGAGUGCCAAUAAAGACCACCGUAUCAGCUACUGUCUUGGAGGAGGCACUAAAUGGCGUGGUCACUACCCAUCCACUUCCAUUGGGGCAUUCUAUAAUGAAAAAGGUUGAAAAUCAAUGUGAUCACUUCUAUUCUGUUACAAUAACCUAAGCGGAAGCAAGAGCUGAAUUUGUCUGCUAAGUGCAAUCUCCUG
This is a non-coding RNA of Malus domestica (apple), 1190 nucleotides long. NCBI's taxonomy places the organism in Eukaryota, Viridiplantae, Streptophyta, Magnoliopsida, Rosales, Rosaceae. The record is from RefSeq and is a predicted model, not a curated record.